This 653-nucleotide long non-coding RNA is filed under the name Setaria italica (foxtail millet). Its description in RNAcentral is "long non-coding RNA (SITA_LNC004942)". Lineage: Eukaryota; Viridiplantae; Streptophyta; Magnoliopsida; Poales; Poaceae. The record is from RNAcentral.
UUUGAGUUACGGAUCGGAAAACUAGAGACACACUGAUGAUAGGAUUAUUCAAGCAAAGAUUUCCAUAGCGAACCAUUAAUUUAUCAUACUUCCGAUGAGCAGGUUUUUCUACUUUGCAAAUUAACAUUAGGCUACUUCUUACAAAAAAGACAUCGACACCAGCCAUUGAAUCCGCCUUUCGUACACUUGUAUUUCCCUGAGUGUAUUCGAAGUUAUCAGUUGCGACUCUAUCCAGCACUGGGUCUUGCACAUCCAACUUUUACAGAAUGGGACAGAAAGAUAUUCAUAGCUGCAGCUAUCUGCAAAGAAACAUGAAGCAUGUUUAUGUAUCCAACAUGUUCUUAACUUAUGAACCACAUGUUAUUUAAUCAUUACAUUAAAUUAACAAAAAUGUAAAUCAUUGUGCGUAGGAAAAAAAGAUCAGAAGAAGGCCCUUCUUUCUCGAGUAAAAAUAAAAUCAGAAGACUAAGCAGAUUGUAUAUGAAGAAAAAGGAACAGAACCGAUAGAAGUCGUUAUUUUGCAUCAGAUUAUCAUCGAUUAACACAACAGAGGAGAGAUUGAGGAACACAAACCAGCCGUAAUCUGAUCUGCGUGUAGCAUGACCGCUAAAAGCAGACAGCAGAGAGUAGCAUGUUUCACGUUCAUCUUGUUU